AAAGCGGAGAUUGUGUGUAUCGACGUUGUGCGAAUUGAAAUUCAAAUGCACUCUGAUCGAAAGUAUUCUCCGCAAAAUUGAUGUUCGCAGGUGAAAGUGGGCAGUUGUUUUUCAUUUUUCUCCAUUGAAAAUUCAACAAUCAUUUUCUCCACAUUC
RNAcentral lists this small nucleolar RNA (156 nucleotides) under Erythranthe guttata (spotted monkey flower). RNAcentral describes it as "Mimulus guttatus (spotted monkey flower) small nucleolar RNA snoR135". It matches the Rfam family "small nucleolar RNA snoR135". Lineage: Eukaryota; Viridiplantae; Streptophyta; Magnoliopsida; Lamiales; Phrymaceae. The record is from Rfam by way of RNAcentral.